This 374-nucleotide ribosomal RNA is filed under the name uncultured bacterium. RNAcentral's name for it is "bacterial SSU rRNA". It matches the Rfam family "Bacterial small subunit ribosomal RNA", at positions 28 to 406 of the family's 1533-position model. The record is from RNAcentral.
GAUAAACGCUGGCGGCGUGCCUAAUGCAUGCAAGUCGAACGGAUGUCGCCUUCGGGUGGCAUUAGUGGCAAACGGGUGAGUAACACGUGGGGAUCUGCCCAGUAGUGGGGAACAACUCCGAGAAAUCGGAGCUAAUACCGCAUACGGUCUGUGUUGAGGAACACGAGACUAAAGCCAGAAAUGGUGCUAUUGGAGGAACCUGCGGCUGAUUAGCUAGUUGGGGGGUAAAGGCUCACCAAGGCGAUGAUCAGUAGCUGGUCUGAGAGGAUGGACAGCCACACUGGGACUGAGAUACGGCCCAGACUCCUACGGGAGGCAGCAGCAAGGAAUUUUCGUCAAUGGGGGCAACCCUGAACGAGCAACGCCGCGUGGGC